AGAGUGAACGCUGGCGGCAGGCCUAACACAUGCAAGUCGAACGGCAGCACAGCAGUAGCAAUACUGUGGGUGGCGAGUGGCGGACGGGUGAGGAAUACAUCGGAAUCUACCUUGUCGUGGGGGAUAACGUAGGGAAACUUACGCUAAUACCGCAUACGAACUAUGGUUGAAAGCGGCGGACCGCAAGGCGUCGCGCGAUUGGAUGAGCCGAUGUCCGAUUAGCUAGUUGGCGGGUAAAGGCCCACAAGGCGACGAUCGGUAGCUGGUCUGAGAGGAUGAUCAGCCACACUGGAACUGAGACACGGUCCAGACCUCCGUACGGGAGCAGCAGGUGGGAAUAUGGACAAGUGGGGCAACCGUGACUCCAGCCAUCGCCGCGUGUGUGAAGAGGUCCGUUACGGUUAGUAAGUCUACGUUUUGGUA
This 423-nucleotide ribosomal RNA is filed under the name uncultured soil bacterium. RNAcentral describes it as "bacterial SSU rRNA". It matches the Rfam family "Bacterial small subunit ribosomal RNA", at positions 26 to 445 of the family's 1533-position model. The record is from RNAcentral.